RNAcentral lists this long non-coding RNA (2886 nucleotides) under Homo sapiens (human). RNAcentral's name for it is "HSALNT0338304". Lineage: Eukaryota; Metazoa; Chordata; Mammalia; Primates; Hominidae. The record is from RNAcentral.
GCCUCUCCUGACACCAAAACAAAAACGUGAGAAUUUCAGUGAAAUAGUCAUGCAUUGAGUAAAGUACAAAAAAUCUGAAAGUUUUAAUAAACUCAAAUAUAUCUUUCAGAAACCAGUAUACAAAUGAUUUCUCAUUUACCUUUUUAAAUACAACUAAAUACACACAAAAUCUAAGCAACAUUUAGCAUUUUCACUCUAAAACUUGGAGACCUCAUCUUUUAUCUAACCUCUCUUUUUUCCAGUACAGCGUCAUUACCAUGGAGUUUCAUCUAACAAUGCUUGUUCCAUCUGUUUCCAUUUUGUCAUGAAAAUCAAAGGAGGUAGUGGAUGUGAAAUUUUACUGAUUACAUAUAUAGGAUCCAAAUAACAUGCAGUGACAAACCUCCUGCAUAUGGCUGAAUGCUAAGCCACCAGCUACUCCUGCCCUCACAUCUCACAACUUUGCUGCAAGAAAAAACAAAACAGAACAUCUUGGCUAAAACUGCCCACCUCCUUACCCCAAGCUUGAUGCCAGCUGAAGAGUCCCAGGAGACCAGUUGGCUUAGCCCGGGUCAGAGGCCCUGGAUGGGAGUGGAUGAUUGGUAGCCAUCAUUUGCACCUGAUGGUUAGAGUGUGAGAGAAGCAGUCUUCCUGAAGAAGAGAGGUGGUGUCCUCAGAAAAGAGGAAGGGUACAAGGUUGUGAAAGCAAUAAAUGCUCACGCAAAAGAGGGUUGACCCAAGGUCUGGCCUUCUUCUUGCCACUCUCUAGUGAGGGAGCCCUUAGGAAAUUGAUUAUGCUCUCUGUCAAGCGGCAAAAAUAAAACCUGCCCCUGCCUUACGUGGUGAUGUGAGGAACAGAUUACAGAAUAGAUUUAAAGUGGCCUUUCAAAGUUUAAAGUGCGAUACCAAUGAAAGGUAAACUAAGUUAUUCUGGUUCUCUCCCUGCAUUUGGUCAGUUCCUGUAACGCAAACCAUUCUAGGUAGGUUAUAAUCUCAUGAAAGUUCGGAAGCAAGGAUUAAGGCCACUCUCUAGCUCUGUUUGGUUGAGAAACAGCACUAUUUCAGAGAUUUUUUAAAUAGAUAAAAUUGUAUUCAUCACCUGUUAAAUCAUGCAUGAGAUUUACUUGGGGUGAUCCCUGAAAUUUUUUCAAUUAGAAAAAUGUAAAUUACAAAAUACAUUAUUUAUAAUGCACACACGGUUGACUAUGUUUUAGAAUAUUACCUAAAGAAACCACAGAAGAAUAACAACACAAAUACAGAUUCUUUGAUACUAUACUAGUAUACAUGUUCUGCUUCUUCCUUUCAGGUCUAUUUGCAGAGUCUUCCAUUCUUGAGCAAUUUUCUCUGGGGUGACUCUCCGCUACUAUGAAACCUGUGUCUGUUUGACAAUACCUGUGCCCAUUGUGCAGAGUUCUUUGUGGCCCUAUCAUGGGGGACUUCCAUUCUGUACUUGGUUACUUCAGUGUGUCAGCUAGAUCCAGCUGCUCUGCGCUGGUUCAUGUGGGUACCACCUACAUGCAAUGCGUCUCCAUUUAUCUUACUGUCCAUCCAGGUCCAUUGUACCCUUCAAGACUGGUUGAAGCCCACUGCUGUAGGACAUCAGUUCCUCUGGCCCUGUUCCUUUGUGAAGCCUUUUUGUGUUUUGUGUGACUGUGUGAUCUGACUGCAUUCACAGGCACUUCUCACACAUAGCUUUGUGCAUCUUCUCAAAUUGCUACAUGUGUAUGUUUGUCCCUCCAAAGGAUUAAAACCUGAGUGAGUGCCAGCUUUCUCUGCAGGAGGAGUGGGUAGUGACCUUUGGUGCUUCCAGAAGAAAAGCAUGCAGGACAUCAUGGUAAAAGUGGGAUGCGCAGCAGAGACACCCUUGCAACUUCAUCCCGCUGCUCACUUCCCACCUGGGUCCCUGACCUCACUGGAAAUUGGGGUCCAGGGACUGGAAUCCAUUUGCUCUGGCCUUUGUCUCUCUGGGCUGGGUGUGGGGCCGUGAAAGGAUGAGCGCCUCCUGCCCAUGGUUGCAAUGGGAGAUCCAGAGGAUACAUGCUGAAAAUAAUAUCCUGGGGUGAGGGCCAAGGUCAUGGCCAGUGAGUGAGUCCAAACCAUCUCAUAAAUUAAUGCAACUCUUGGAAAACUGGGAGCUGAGUUAAUGGAGCCGAAAUGAGUGGUGUGGAGCCACAGGGAGAGCCACGAGUGUCCAGAGGGAGCCAGUGCCACCGGCCACGCGGCCCAAGACCUUCCAGGGCCUUCCCUUCAUGGUCUUGCAGGCAGCUGGGCCUGCUGGGGCCGGAAGGGAGCUGGGCCCCUCAGACACAGCCGAGGAAAACUUGACUGCUGGUGUGCCAGAUCCGUCCACAGGUCCCCAGGGAUUCCCCAAGUGAAUUCUGUCCUCUAAAGCUCGUCACAAACAGGUAGGAAAUUCUACUCUUUAAUUAUCCUAAUCCCAAACAAGUCAUGAUACUCACAUAGCCAAUUUCAGGUUUAAUCGUGUUACCUUUAUCCAAGUAGAAAUCAAUUCCCAUUUUUGUAUAGCUCUGCAGAACAUCCAGAGUGCUUCAGCGCAGAGCAAGGCCCCAGCAGUUAUGAGUGCUAUCAUCAUAUGGGAAAAAGAAGUUCAUCACUCUGUGUGUGUGUGGAGCGGGAAGGGAUGGGAGGCAAGUUUAUGACAGUUUCCAUACUUUAUCUAACUAUCCAUACACUUCCUCCUCUUCCCUCCUCUUCCUGUUGGGACAUGUUUGUACAUGCCACAUGCCAUGAGAUUCCAAAGGAAAUAUGAGCCCUUUAUGAUUGUCUAAAUCAGAGUCCAAUUGCAGGGCUGGGCCUUGUGUUACAAAUUCAAUCACAGUUUAGAAAUUAAUCAUACACUUGGCUGGGCGUGGUGGCUCUCGCCUGUAAUCCCAGCACUUUGGAAGG